Molecule: ribosomal RNA, 168 nt
Filed under: Yamadazyma atlantica
Lineage: Eukaryota; Fungi; Ascomycota; Pichiomycetes; Serinales; Debaryomycetaceae
Description: [Candida] atlantica partial 18S rRNA
Rfam family: Eukaryotic small subunit ribosomal RNA
Source: RNAcentral
GGGCGCACGCGCGCUACACUGACGGAGCCAACGAGUAUUAACCUUGGCCGAGAGGUCUGGGAAAUCUUGUGAAACUCCGUCGUGCUGGGGAUAGAGCAUUGUAAAUCUUGCUCUUCAACGAGGAAUUCCUAGUAAGCGCAAGUCAACAACUUGCGUUGAUUACGUCCC